UAUUAAAAAUUUCAUCUAUUUGUAUUGUUAAAAACUAGGAUGGCAAACCAAACAAUAACACGUGGUCUACCACGUGUACCUCAUGCUAAUAUAUAUAGAUCAAUUUUUAACAGUAAAAAUGGAUGAUUAUUUUAACA
Molecule: non-coding RNA, 137 nt
Organism: Gossypium hirsutum (cotton)
Lineage: Eukaryota; Viridiplantae; Streptophyta; Magnoliopsida; Malvales; Malvaceae
Source: Rfam